UAGCAAGUGGAAGACAAACAUUCUUGGGAAAA
Molecule: non-coding RNA, 32 nt
Filed under: Mus musculus (house mouse)
Lineage: Eukaryota; Metazoa; Chordata; Mammalia; Rodentia; Muridae
Source: RNAcentral